GUGGGGAAUAUUGCACAAUGGGCGAAAGCCUGAUGCAGCAACGCCGCGUGAGGGACGACGGCCUUCGGGUUGUAAACCUCUUUUAGUAGGGAAGAAGCGAAAGUGACGGUACCUGCAGAAAAAGCACCGGCUAACUACGUGCCAGCAGCCGCGGUAAUACGUAGGGUGCAAGCGUUAUCCGGAAUUAUUGGGCGUAAAGAGCUCGUAGGCGGUCUGUCGCGUCUGCUGUGAAAACUGGAGGCUCAACCUCCAGCCUGCAGUGGGUACGGGCAGACUAGAGUGCGGGAGGGGAGAUUGGAAUUCCUGGUGUAGCGGUGGAAUGCGCAGAUAUCAGGAGGAACACCGAUGGCGAAGGCAGAUCUCUGGGCCGUAACUGACGCUGAGGAGCGAAAGCGUGGGGAGCGAACAGGAUUAGAUACCCGAGUAGUCC
Molecule: ribosomal RNA, 430 nt
Filed under: uncultured bacterium
Lineage: Bacteria
Description: partial 16S ribosomal RNA
Rfam family: Bacterial small subunit ribosomal RNA
Source: RNAcentral